CCAAAGGCUGAAUAUUCUCAUCCCAACACAGGAUCUGAAAUGUGUCAGGUAGGUUUAAAAAAUGGUGGGCAGGACCUGAAUCUGGGAUUCCCACCCCCAUUCCUAGCACCAGCAAUUCUCAGCAGUGUGGGAUAAGGGUGCAUGUUGGAAGCCUGCCAGUUGAUGUCCUGACAUUACCGGCACCAGUGGGUAUUUCAGACUGACCACAAUUUUCACGGAGUCAGGCAGAUUUUGGAAGGCAAUGUGAAACACACCAGCAAUGAAGUAUCGUGAACCAUGGGGGACCCUUGAUGUGGAGUCAGAAACCAUGUCAAAGGUAUCAGGGCAAUGAAAAUUCUGGAGGAGCAGAGGCAACUGAGACAGCAACUGCUUAAUUUCCACUACACACGUGUAGACAUUGAAUGUGGGCCAUUAUGUUGAAUAUAAAGCAAAACUGUAUUGUGGACAAAAAUCGAUAGGCAACCAGAUUAUCAUAGGGCAAAUACCCCUUUACAAGCUAUGAGAGAGACAGCAUCGGAACAACAGAAAGUUGUCCUAUAUGAGUGGGCUGCGAUUGAACACAAUUCACAAAGAGGGUAGGCAUGCUCCUCCCAACACAACUGCUCAACACAACAGUGUUGUCUUCGCCAACAGCUUGUAGAACAUAUCAAACAACCUGUACAACAUACUAUACCAACAUAAAAUUAUGCUGUGGAAGAAAACUGCAAGUAAGAAUUCCAUAUUGAUCCACUUCACAGAACUGGAACACCAACAUAUGAUCUUUCCAAAUUGCCCUGUCCUGCUGAAUGUUAUACUAUAAUUUAAGAUUUAUUGCUAACUUUUGAACAUGUGCAUUUUAGGGCAGAACUCAUUACAUUUUAUACAACCAAAUGCCUGCCUUAUUUACAAUGAUUACUGUGUGCAUGUAUU
Carcharodon carcharias (great white shark) is the source of this 909-nucleotide long non-coding RNA. RefSeq lists it as uncharacterized. Lineage: Eukaryota; Metazoa; Chordata; Chondrichthyes; Lamniformes; Lamnidae. The record is from RefSeq and is a predicted model, not a curated record. The transcript has 3 exons.